Phrynosoma platyrhinos (Desert horned lizard) is the source of this 72-nucleotide non-coding RNA. The record is from the annotation of a GenBank genome assembly. NCBI's taxonomy places the organism in Eukaryota, Metazoa, Chordata, Lepidosauria, Squamata, Phrynosomatidae.
GCAAAUGUGGUGUAGUGGUUUGAGUGUUGGACUAUGACUCUGGAGACCAGGGUUCGAAUCCUCGCUUUCUCG